ACCAAGCGUUCGAUUGCUUGACGUCACUUCGUGAUCGACAUCGAUGAAACGCUUGCUUACGCUGUAGAUGUUAUUUUCUGUGCAAAUGCAAGCGUCUAUUGAUAACGAAACGAUAAUUUGUCAACAAUGAGAAUCAGAUACUUGGCUUAAUAAUUUUCAUUUAAAAUGUCUAAUUUGGAUAUAAUUCGGAAUACAAAACGAAACUUAAAAGGUAUUGAAAACAACAACGUUCAAAAGAACAAUGUGGAUUUCAAUAGAAAGACUAUUUCCACCGACAAUCAGGAUUUCCGGUAUGACCACUGUUAUUUUGACGAUUUUUCUAUCGGUUCGUCGGUAAGCGUGACCACAUGUGGCAACAGCGAUGCUAGUUGGAUAUAAAAUUGGUAGACGUGUCGUUGAACUCGACACAUUGACCGAAUCGCUUUUAGCAUGCAGUGCUUGUCAAGUGCCCAUGAAUUUACUUAACACUGUAGAAAGCAUGGAUUUCGGACAGGCAUGUGUUUUGGACAUACAGUUUAGCAAUUGUGGUGCAGUAAAUAAUGCAGCUACUGGACGGAAACAUGGCAGAGUUUAUGACAUGAUCACAAAGCUUGCAUUUGGGUAAAUCAAAAACUGGGUGUUUCACCUGGGACUUUCACAUCGAAACUGGCCCUUCUCCAUGACCUUCAGCACAAAAAAAGAAAGGCUAUAGCUGUUACUCAUGCAGCAAAACAGUGACGCAUAAGACUUAAAACUCGAACGGCAUUCAAAGGACAGUGCAAGAAGUACGAGCGGGACCAACAUACAGUUCAAACAUAGAGGACCAAGACGUUGAAGUUACAACUAUACCCCACCUAUACCCAAGCCUGGUCCAGCAGGGCUAGACACUACUGGGAAGGAAUUUGUUUUCUUUGAUUUGGAAACAAGAGGGUUAGAGCACACUUCUCACAUAAUUCAGAUAGCUGCAGUGCAUUCAACUGGUCAAUUUUCAACAUAUGUGAUGCAUGCGAAGAAGAUUUCCUUGCAAGCGUCAGAAAUAACUGGAGUGACAAUUGUUAGCGACUCUAUGCUUGUCAAGAGACAAACAGUAACAGCUGUCCCCAUCAAAUCUGCAUUGACAAGUUUUAUAACAUUCUUACAGAAAUGUUCACCAAUUAUUUCAGUUGGGCAUAAUAUAGAGUCUUUUGAUUGUAAAGUGUUGCUCCGUGCUAUCCAUACUUGUUGAAAAAUGUUUGAGUUUCAGCAAAAUAUUUGUGGCUUUUUAGAUACUUAAAAAUGUUAAAGGAAAUAUUACCAAAUAUGAAAUCAUAUAAGCGGGAAAAUUAAGUUAAAGACGUCAUUGGUGAAUUAUACAUGGCACAUGGCGCUAUACAGGAUAUUUUAGCUUUACAAAAGUUAGUGAACUCUGUUCCUCUUGACCAAAAAUUGUUAACAAAUAUUCAUUCAGCUUUUACCGAGCAGUGUUAACAUACAAUGUGUAACUAAAUGUUGCUUCCAACAUCAAAUCUUUACAAACCAUAAUUGAUACAAAAGUUAUAAGUCAAGGUGUUGCAAGGAAAGUUGCAGGAAGUGGAUUUCAACUUAAACAUUUGAGUCCUGUAUCAAAAAGAAACGGACUGAGUGGUUUGAGGAGCCCCCUGUCAGAGGUUACAAACGGACAAAUCAGAGUAACAAAAUCAGAGAAAAUAAUAUGUACAAUAGCGAGUUAUUUGUUGCCUGACAUCUAACCAAUUGUAAUUUGCAUCUUGUAUAUAGAUAAGCUAUGAAAUCUAAUAGCUGUUACAUAAUUGUUUUUCCUUCUCGAUGACGAACAUAGUUGUGAUUCUUAUGUCAGUUGUAUUUCUCAUAUUUCACCUAAGUUGUAAGAUAUUUUUGGCAGUGCAUUAAACCACAGAUGGUGUGUGAAACAUAAUUGCCCAGCUUAUUGUAUUCUUUGUUGUUUUAAGCUUCACUGGCCAAAGGCCAGCGGGGCUUAUGUUAUGAUUCUGUGUCCGUCGUGCGUGCGUGCCUGAACGUUUCCUUUAAACAUCUUCUUCUCCUAAACUACUGGUCCAAUUGUGAUGAAAUUUUUUAGGAAUGUUCCUCUUUCAACGUUGUUCAAAUUAUGCCCCUGGGGUCAAAUUUGACCCUGCCCCGGGGUCACAAAA
Molecule: long non-coding RNA, 2126 nt
Organism: Dreissena polymorpha
Lineage: Eukaryota; Metazoa; Mollusca; Bivalvia; Myida; Dreissenidae
Exons: 4
Source: RefSeq, a predicted model, not a curated record